AGAGUUUGAUUAUGGCUCAGGAUGAACGCUGGCGGCGUGCCUAACACAUGCAAGUCGAGCGAUCUCUUCGGAAGAGAGCGGCGGACGGGUGAGUAACGCGUGGGUAACCUGCCCUGUACACACGGAUAACAUACCGAAAGGUAUGCUAAUACGGGAUAACAUACUUUUAUCGCAUGGUAGAAGUAUCAAAGCUCCGGCGGUACAGGAUGGACCCGCGUCUGAUUAGCUAGUUGGUAAGGUAACGGCUUACCAAGGCGACGAUCAGUAGCCGACCUGAGAGGGUGAUCGGCCACAUUGGAACUGAGACACGGUCCAAACUCCUACGGGAGGCAGCAGUGGGGAAUAUUGCACAAUGGGCGAAAGCCUGAUGCAGCAACGCCGCGUGAGCGAUGAAGGCCUUCGGGUCGUAAAGCUCUGUCCUCAAGGAAGAUAAUGACGGUACUUGAGGAGGAAGCCCCGGCUAACUACGUGCCAGCCGCCGC
This 482-nucleotide ribosomal RNA is filed under the name uncultured bacterium. RNAcentral's name for it is "bacterial SSU rRNA". It matches the Rfam family "Bacterial small subunit ribosomal RNA", at positions 8 to 518 of the family's 1533-position model. The record is from RNAcentral.